This is a long non-coding RNA of Mercurialis annua (annual mercury), 787 nucleotides long. RefSeq lists it as uncharacterized. The record is from RefSeq and is a predicted model, not a curated record. Lineage: Eukaryota; Viridiplantae; Streptophyta; Magnoliopsida; Malpighiales; Euphorbiaceae. The transcript is spliced from 3 exons.
AAAAAGAAAAUUCACAUAAGAUGCUUGAUAAUGGUAUAAUGAACAGGACUGUUAUUGUUUAUAGGAACCACCAUCACUUUAUCAAGAAAUACCAGAGGCAACAUCUUAUUCAUUUUCUCAACACUAUUUUCUGCUGUUUAUUUUUACUUGUCAUAUGGUGUCUGCCGAUUCUUUUCUCAUAUUCUACUUACCACUAAUUACGACGCACUUCAUACAGUCACGAGAAACGUCACUCUAAUAUCCCGGAACACAUAGCACCUUUGCUGCCGUGUUAAAGAGGGAGACCAUGUUAUCGUUGGCCAAUACAGGCCAUUGUCAAAGACAGUGCGGUUCAAUGUGUUAAAGGUCGUUCCAGCGGGUUCCUCUGGUGGUUCAAAGAAGGCUUUCACAGCCAUGUAAGCUUCAGUUUACUAUACUGCCAGAGAAAGCUCAACUGAUAUGAUUGUGGCUGUUUCAUUGUCAUCUUAAUAAGUUUGGGUAUGAACUUAGUUCUUAUGUCGCUCUAGAUUCGAUUUUAGUUCCUUAUAUUGUUAAUGGAGAGGUUUGAUUGUUCAAAAUGCCAAGAUGAAUGUUGACACAAUUUCGAUUAAGUUUAUGUUUUUGUUUAUGUUUGGAUAAGCUAUAUGUGCUUAUGUUAAUUUUUUCUGAACCUCAUCCAAAUGCAUUUCAGAUAUUUUCAACUAUCCGGUUCUAAUUGCAUAUGACUGAUUUUGAAUACUAAGAGUAAGAGGAUAAAACAUCAUGAUUUUCCUUGUAGAUAGUGUAGGUACUAGAUCUUAUGCGAGCU